CCCUGCCCUUUGUACACACCGCCUUUGUCGCUCCUACCGAUUGAGUGUGUUGGUGAGGAGUUUGGAUUGGCGUCAGAGAGUGGUUUGCCGCUGUCUGAGGCUGAGAAGUUCUCCGAACCGCCCCACUUAGAGGAAGGAGAAGUCGUAACA
RNAcentral lists this ribosomal RNA (150 nucleotides) under uncultured eukaryote. RNAcentral's name for it is "partial small subunit ribosomal RNA". It matches the Rfam family "Eukaryotic small subunit ribosomal RNA", at positions 1651 to 1796 of the family's 1831-position model. The record is from RNAcentral.